Molecule: unclassified non-coding RNA, 328 nt
Filed under: soil metagenome
Description: partial contains 5.8S ribosomal RNA, internal transcribed spacer 2, and large subunit ribosomal RNA
Rfam family: 5.8S ribosomal RNA (bases 1-120)
Source: RNAcentral
GAUGAAGAACGCAGCGAAAUGCGAUAAGUAAUGUGAAUUGCAGAAUUCAGUGAAUCAUCGAAUCUUUGAACGCACAUUGCGCCCCUUGGUAUUCCGAGGGGCAUGCCUGUUCGAGCGUCAUUAUAACCCUCAAGCUCAGCUUGGUGUUGGGGCCUGCUGCACUGGCAGCCCUUAAAAUCAGUGGCGGCGCCAUCUGGCUCUAAGCGUAGUAAUUCUUCUCGCUAUGGAGUCCUGGUGGAUGCUUGCCAUCAACCCCCAAUUUUUCUAUGGUUGACCUCGGAUCAGGUAGGGAUACUCGCUGAACUUAAGCAUAUCAAUAAGCGGAGGA